AGAAUCAACGCUGGCGGCGUGCCUAACACAUGCAAGUCGCACGGUCGGAGCAAUCCGGCAGUGGCGGACGGGUGAGUAACGCGUAGGAAUCUAUCUCUGGGUGGGGGACAACCGUGGGAAACUACGGCUAAUACCGCAUGAUACCUGAGGGUCAAAGGCGCAAGUCGCCUGGAGAGGAGCCUGCGUACGAUUAGCUUGUUGGUGGGGUAAAGGCCUACCAAGGCGACGAUCGUUAGCUGGUCUGAGAGGAUGAUCAGCCACAUUGGGACUGAGACACGGCCCAAACUCCUACGGGAGGCAGCAGUGGGGAAUAUUGGACAAUGGGCGAAAGCCUGAUCCAGCAAUGCCGCGUGGGUGAAGAAGGUUUUCGGAUUGUAAAGCACUUUCGGCGGGGACGAUGAUGACGGUACCCGCAGAAGAAGCCCCGGCUAACUUCGUGCCAGCAGCCGCGGUAAUACGAAGGGGGCUAGCGUUGCUCGGAAUGACUGGGCGUAAAGGGCGCGUAGGCGGUUGACACAGUCAGGCGUGAAAUUCCUGGGCUUAACCUGGGGGCUGCGCUUGAUACAUGUUGACUUGAGUGUGGAAGAGGGUCGUGGAAUUCCCAGUGUAGAGGUGAAAUUCGUAGAUAUUGGGAAGAACACCGGUGGCGAAGGCGGCGACCUGGUCCAUUACUGACGCUGAGGCGCGAAAGCGUGGGGAGCAAACAGGAUUAGAUACCCUGGUAGUCCACGCCGUAAACGAUGUGUGCUGGAUGUUGGGUGGCCUAGCCAUUCAGUGUCGUAGCUAACGCGGUAAGCACACCGCCUGGGGAGUACGGCCGCAAGAUUAAA
Molecule: ribosomal RNA, 830 nt
Filed under: uncultured bacterium
Lineage: Bacteria
Description: bacterial SSU rRNA
Rfam family: Bacterial small subunit ribosomal RNA
Source: RNAcentral